RNAcentral lists this ribosomal RNA (834 nucleotides) under Theridiosoma gemmosum. RNAcentral describes it as "bacterial SSU rRNA". It matches the Rfam family "Eukaryotic small subunit ribosomal RNA", at positions 964 to 1804 of the family's 1831-position model. Lineage: Eukaryota; Metazoa; Arthropoda; Arachnida; Araneae; Theridiosomatidae. The record is from RNAcentral.
UGGUUUCCGUUAAUCAAGAACGAAAGUCAGAGGCUCGAAGGCGAUCAGAUACCGCCCUAGUUCUGACCGUAAACGAUGCCAGCCAGCGAUCCGGCUGCGUUCCUCAAACGACGCGCCGGGCAGCUUCCGGGAAACCAAAGCUCUUGGGCUCCGGGGGAAGUAUGGUUGCAAAGCUCAAACUUGAAGGAAUUGGCGGAAGGGCACCACCAGCCUUGGGGCCUGCGGCUUAAUUUGACUCAACACGGGACAACUCACCCGGCCCGGACACGAGAAGGAUUGACAGAUUGAGAGCUCUUUCUUGAUUACGUGGGUGGUGGUGCAUGGCCGCUCUUAGUUGGUGGAGCGAUUUGUCUGCUUGAUUGCGAUAACGAACGAGAUUCUAGCCUUCUAAAUAGACGUCCCGGCUGACCUCCGCCGGGCGACCCCAAUUUCUUCUUAGAGGGACAGCCGGCUUCAAGCCGGACGAAACGGAGCAAUAGCAGGUCUGUAAUGCCCUUCGAUGUCCGGGGCCGCACGCGCGCCACAAUGAAGGAGCCAGCGCGCGCUCUCCCCCGCCCGAGAGGGCGGGGCAACCGUUCAGACUUCUUUCGUGCUGGGGACAGGGGAUUGCAAUUGUUCCCCUCGAACGAGGAAAGCCCAGUAAGCGCGAGUCAUCAGCUCGCGUUGAUUAAGUCCCCUGCCCUUUGCCCACACCGCCCGUCGCUUGUUUCCGAUUGAAUGAUCGGGUGAGGUCUUCGGACCGACCCACGGACCGGCCUCCGGGCCGGGCCGUCGUGCCGGAAAGACGAUCGAACUGGACCCUUUAGAGGAAGCAAAAGUCGUAACAAGGUUACC